CCUUGCUUGCUUGCAAAAUUUCAACAUCAAUAUGUUGUUUUGUAGAGAACAUAUGAAGAAACUACAGUCUGCUCAAGGUUGGUGUUAAUGUGGGCGUGUCUUACAAUUAAAAGAUCAAAGGUGCGAAAGUUUAGGUAAUUUAGGGUUUUUUCCAAUAACCACAAUCUUUUCUGAAAAUUAUAUUCUUUUGAGUGCUGUUUUUAUUUUUAGACUCAAGUAGAGUGGCUUUGUAAGAUUCUUAGUUCAGCUCUGUAUGAGGAAAAUCCCUUCAGUUCUUCUCCCUUAAAAGCUACCUUUUGUCUGAAUGACUGCCCCAUGCAAUGAGAUGAUUGCCGUAACAAGGACACGCCCACUCUCUGAAAACAAACAACCAAGAGCGACAGAAGCUGAGCAGCCUGAAGCUUCAGCAUUUUGUUCACAGGACCAAUUUGCCAUGGGAGACCCCACCAGUGGGCAAAAGGCCCCCCGACAUCAUAACCCCUGGGAUCCGUGGGACACACAAAUCCUCCACCACAAUAAGGAAGCACCUCAACAUGAUGAGACAGUACACUGCCUUGUGGGGGAGGAGCUGCUGCUGCUGCCAGAAGAGGUUUAAUAUACACUUGGAGGAGAUCAAAGAUAAAGAUCACACUGUUUAAUGACAAAAAGUCUGCAUAUAUGGUACUUUUUACCCAAGUGGACAAAGUUUAUAAUCUUUGCCACAUUAACAGAAAACGGCAGCUACCAUGCAUGGUGAUUAGUUGCUUUUUCAGUUAAUAAUGGUCCAACACCUCACUGAGUUUUUUAGGCUCUUUUUUCUUUAGUUCGUCACCUUGUUCACAAUCCAUAUUCACACAUUAUAUUAAAGCUUAAAGGAACACAGAGAUGUGCUGCAGACACUUUGGUUAACAUCUGGCGUUUUGUUGUUGUCUAUACAGGUAAACGUGUUAACUGUAAGCAUCUGAUGAACCUUAUGAAAGUGAAAAUGCUAAAGUCUGUCUUUUUUCAGUAGUGCUGAAGUCACACACUUUUCCUGGUUAAUGAGGAAGGAGCAGGCAGAUUACCACAGCUAGAUACCAGAGUAGCAUUAAGCUGUCGCAUGUGAAACAUCUCUAUCUUAGUCAUGCAGGCCUAGAGACUUCCUGGAGACCCCCUGGCAACCUAUGGUCAUGGAAAACUGUGUAUUCACCCCACUGGUUGGUAAAUGAUUGAUGGAAUAUUUUGAUUGUCAGUGGGUGAAAUUUGGUUGCAAAGCCAGUGCUACAAUUAAAAAAAGAUCUCCUUGUGAUUGCCUUGGUCUUUCGCAAAUUGCCCAUCUUUGGUGGUGACACCGCUCUAGUGAAACUUGAAAAAAUAAAGUCCAAACGGGACACUUGGAAAGUUCGCUUUUCCAACUUUUAUUUUGAAGACAGACUCCAUUUCCAGUUUGUCGAACUUUUCACAGUUUCAGUACUACUCCGCAAGUAGUUGGUGUGUGUUUGCAGAUAAGUCGGCAUCUUCUAAGUAAGUGACCUAAGCAUUUCCACGACCUCGCUAAUAUCGUUUCCCUAGGCUUAUGUAACUGAGUUCUUAGUUUUGCUGUUAAAUUGUUGUUUUUGUUGUCUCAAGGUAUAUGUAAAUAUUCUUUGGGAUGACGUUCAUGCUGUUAAAAGGAUUUGUACCCUUUAUUUUUUCAAAUAGAAUGAUAUGAUUAUAGCAUGUUGUCCUUUUAUAUCAGUAAAGUUGCUAGAUGGCUGUGUGAACAAUAGCCUCAGACAUUUUGCUGUGUAAAAUAAAAAGUAUAAUA
Molecule: long non-coding RNA, 1765 nt
Organism: Oreochromis aureus
Lineage: Eukaryota; Metazoa; Chordata; Actinopteri; Cichliformes; Cichlidae
Exons: 3
Source: RefSeq, a predicted model, not a curated record